AAAUUUUAAUCACGAGUCAGACGCACUAUGUAUGCCGCCUAUAAACAACAGCUGCUGGUUUGCUUGAAAUUUCAACGCCGUCGUUUAAUGUUGUAUGACAGCGCAAUAGUAAUGCUUGAUAAGAAAAAUUCUACGAUAGCAAAACAAAGUUGAAAAAGAAAAUUAAAGUGUAAUUCAAAGAAAAUUAAAGUUUAAUUGCACAAGCGGAAUGCCAAAUAAAACGUAUCUUUUAAAUGCUAUUUGUAGACGGUGCUAGAAAAAGUGUGUAUAAACUAUGCAGCACUACAAAGAAGUACAUUUUAAUAUUUUCGUGGGAAAACAUGCUUACAUUCAACAGCCCCUAUAUAAAUCUCUGAAUCAUGUCAUGGAAUCCUUUGACGACCGCUGCCCAAGCAACUGAACUUUUCAGCAUUGCGUUGAUUUAUCUUCUACAUCAUAUCUACAAACUCCAAUAUCCAUUUUGAUGAUCCCUUGGAUGCGUGCCAGAUGGGCGGCACGCAAUAAACGAACCGCCAAUGAGGAGAAAAGUGAUACGGCACAACCCACUUGUGUUGAAGCGGUACGUGACGGCGGUAUACGCGCCUCAAGUGCCAAUUCCAGAACACAAACUGCACCUACGACAUCCGUGGCAUGCGAAUCACAUCCUAAGCAUGUUGCUUCACCCGCUCGUCACAGCGCACCACCACAACGACGUAGCCGACGUGCUGUCCCGGUAUCCCCUGCACGACACGUCAUACUUCAUCCUAAUGGACGUGCGGUACAUAUGCCGCCUAUCGAGCAAUCGCUAUCGCAGUCACAGCAGCUGCAGCAAGCCAGUCCCACUGUGACGCCGCAGCCACGUAGAGUGUCAAGAGUAAGAGGCUCGCGCCGUUCUGCGGUCCUAUCGAGCUCAGAUUGUGCUACUGCCGCCUCCAGUGAUAACAUCGAUCGAGAGACGCCCAAAGAAAGAAUCAAAGUGCGAGUAAUUUGUCCCAGUGCACGUGUCCUUAUUUUCGAAGCGGACGUAAAUAAACGCAUCACAGAGUUGAAAAACGAAGUAAUGUUGGAGCUAUCCGAUGACCCCUCGGCUAUGACACUAUUUGCGCCCGAUGUGCGCCAGCUUGGGCCACGUUACCGGAUCAUGCGCGCGGAGUACCAGGGUGCCGAGUUGAAUGAAAGUAUGACGCUGGCACAGCUGAAAAUUGAGGAUAAUUCCAUGUUGGUGCUGGUGCCCCGGCGGCAGAACCUGCAGCAAAUGACGGCACUAACGCGCGAAGUGCAACCGCCGCGGGAAGUGGAAAUCAAUGCUGCCACCCGUAACAUUCUGCCACACACUGCGGAUAUGCCAUUGGUGGAUAUCAACGAAAUAUUUCAGCAAUCGAAUCUGCAAUUCGAUGUGCGUAAAGUUCUCAUUUCACUGGCGCAAGCAUCUGCAGCCAUUAUAGGCGCUGGUCCUUAUGCGACAAGACUGAUAGCGAUGCUUAAACAGAAGCUGAUCAACAAGCGAAAUUAUCAGAAUGACACACUGCAGUGCCUUGUCGAUAUGGGUUUUAAAAAGGAGAAAGCCGAAUAUGCGCUUAAAGUUAAUCAAGGUGUAUACUCAGCAGCACUCGAAUGGCUCAUACAACAUCAAAGUGAGGAGGGUUCAGAGGAGGAAGCAGCAAUGGGUUUACAGAAAAGUUUAUCAGUACUCUCACCUUCUGGCAUAAUCACUAAUGAUAGCAUAGUUGAAAACACAGAAGCGCUUCUAGAGAUAGUACGCAUCUAUAGCCAUCGUGAUAUACCGCCUUCACCUGAGACUAUUAGUUCGUUGGUGGAAAUGGGUUUCGAAGAAACUGAAGUGCUGAACGCUUUAAAAAAGACUUGCAAUAACAAAGCAGCAGCGUGUGAAUGGUUGUGUGGAAAUCGUACUGGCAGUUUGAUUGAGCUGCGCGAAGGUCUAUCACAAGAUUCGCCUAUACUUAAGGCCAUACUCGAAAUGCCACAAGUGCAAAUGAACUUAAGUAACCCAAAAAUACUAAUAGCCUUUCUGUCCAUACUCGAAAACGAGAAUUCCAUACGCGUUUGGGGUGGCGACAAUGACACCACAUCUGUAAUUACACAUAUCCUGCAGAAAUAUCACGAAGAGAAGCAUGUGCUAGGCAUCAAUCAGUUCUAUAGUAAUCGUCAAUAAUAUACCGAAAAGCAAACUAUAAGCUAGCGUGCAGUUUCUAAAUAAAUAAGCGUUUAAAGCGCAUGCGCACAACAUUCACAUUAUACCUUAUGACAUGAAUGAAUGAAUGGCGGUGAAAAAGUAAAAAUAUUACACCAAAGAAAGUAAACGAAAAAUAUCUGAUAGCUGAAGCGUGGAAAGAGAAAGAAGCUAUAAGUAACAAGCAGUUUCGUAUUAGCUUAAAAAUUUUACGCAACGCACAGCACGCGCCAAAAAGCCUCUUAUACACACACACACAUACAAAAAUUUAAGUGCUAAAACCAAAAAUUAAAAUUAAUAGUAGUAAUAUGUAAAAGUGCAAUUUUAGCGCGUACGAUCAUACAUACAAAUACAUGUGCAGAAAGAAGAAAAUAUGAAAUAGUCAGUAAUUUCGACAUUUUGCUAGGCGCCAAAUUUAGUUAAUUAUGUAGUACUUUAAGCAGUUUCACAGACUUAAUAUUAGUGGCAGGCUUUUCUAGCAAAAAUAUGGUAUCACAUUAAGCGUAUAGAUGUAAUUGAAUUAUUUUUGGAAUGCGGUUCAUAUCUACACAAAUGUAAAACUUAAGCGAAACCAAAAACAAUUAACGCUUGAUACUCUAGAGCUUAGAAGAGUCACAUUAAGUUUUAAUGUACAUAGUAACAGGCAAAAAACUUUUAGUUAGCUUACGA
Molecule: unclassified non-coding RNA, 2839 nt
Filed under: Rhagoletis pomonella (apple maggot)
Lineage: Eukaryota; Metazoa; Arthropoda; Insecta; Diptera; Tephritidae
Description: ubiquitin-associated domain-containing protein 1, transcript variant X3
Source: RNAcentral